ACCUGUUGAGCAUUUGAGUUGAUAAUACUCUAAUAUGGUACUCAAGAUUUAUUUGGAAUCACGUGCAUGCUAACGAGCUAUGCAACCCCACCAACUUUGAUAUUUCACUCUUCGGAGAUGUCAAAACUUCUAACGGAGGUUCCCACACCAAGCUUCAUUUUAGCCAUAAGCCACAUGGAAGCUCGAAAUGAUCUGGAUGUCUCGAGACCCAAAUCAAAGGUUUACCUAGAUCAAACACAACAUUCUGG
RNAcentral lists this long non-coding RNA (248 nucleotides) under Solanum tuberosum (potato). RNAcentral's name for it is "long non-coding RNA (STUB_LNC010843)". The record is from RNAcentral. Lineage: Eukaryota; Viridiplantae; Streptophyta; Magnoliopsida; Solanales; Solanaceae.